GAUGAACGCUGGCGGCUUGCCUAACACAUGCAAGUCGAGCGAUCUUCUUCGGAAGAGAGCGGCGGACGGGUGAGUAACGCGUGGGUAACCUGCCCUGUACACACGGAUAACAUACCGAAAGGUAUGCUAAUACGAGAUAAUAUGCUUUUAUCGCAUGGUAGAAGUAUCAAAGCUCCGGCGGUACAGGAUGGACCCGCGUCUGAUUAGCUAGUUGGUGAGGUAACGGCUCACCAAGGCGACGAUCAGUAGCCGACCUGAGAGGGUGAUCGGCCACAUUGGAACUGAGACACGGUCCAAACUCCUACGGGAGGCAGCAGUGGGGAAUAUUGCACAAUGGGCGAAAGCCUGAUGCAGCAACGCCGCGUGAGCGAUGAAGACCUUCGGGUCGUAAAGCUCUGUCCUCAAGGAAGAUAAUGACGGUACUUGAGGAGGAAGCCCCGGCUAACUAC
RNAcentral lists this ribosomal RNA (449 nucleotides) under uncultured bacterium. RNAcentral's name for it is "bacterial SSU rRNA". It matches the Rfam family "Bacterial small subunit ribosomal RNA", at positions 28 to 504 of the family's 1533-position model. The record is from RNAcentral.